This 494-nucleotide ribosomal RNA is filed under the name uncultured bacterium. Its description in RNAcentral is "partial 16S ribosomal RNA". It matches the Rfam family "Bacterial small subunit ribosomal RNA", at positions 28 to 507 of the family's 1533-position model. The record is from RNAcentral.
GACGAACGCUGGCGGCGCGCUUAACACAUGCAAGUCGAACGGAAAGGCCUGCUUUCCCUUGUGGAUUGCGGGUACUCGAGUGGCGAACGGGUGAGUAACACGUGAGUGAUCUGCCCCCAACUUGGGUAUAAGCCUGGGAAACUGGGUCUAAUUCCCGAUAGGACUGCAGGGUGGUGCCUGUGGUGGAAAACGAUUUUCUAGUGGUUGGGGAUGAGCUCGCGGCCUAUCAGCUUGUUGGUGGGGUAAUGGCCUACCAAGGCGGCGACGGGUAGCCGGCCUGGGAGGGUGAACGGCCACAUUGGGACUGAGAUACGGCCCAGACUCCUACGGGAGGCAGCAGUGGGGAAUAUUGCACAAUGGGCGGAAGGCUGAUGCAGCGACGCCGCGUGGGGGAUGACGGCCUUCGGGUUGUAAACUCCUUUCGACCGCGAGGAAGCCACCUGGUUGGAAGGGUGGUGACGGUAGUGGUAGAAGAAGCACCGGCUAACUACGUG